GCUAGUAAUCGCGGAUCAGCAUGCCGCGGUGAAUACGUUCCCGGGCCUUGUACACACCGCCCGUCACACCACCCGAGUCGUCUGCACCCGAAGCCGCCGGCCGAACCCUUUUGGGGCGGAGGCGUCGAAGGUGUGGAGGGUAAGGGGGGUGAAGUCGUAACAAGGUAGCCGUACCGGAAGGUGCGGCUGGAUCACCUCCUUUCUAGGGAGA
This 211-nucleotide ribosomal RNA is filed under the name bacterium D16-34. RNAcentral's name for it is "partial 16S ribosomal RNA". It matches the Rfam family "Bacterial small subunit ribosomal RNA", at positions 1334 to 1533 of the family's 1533-position model. The record is from RNAcentral.